GUGGGGAAUCUUAGACAAUGGGGGAAACCCUGAUCUAGCCAUGCCGCGUGAGCGAUGAAGGCCUUAGGGUUGUAAAGCUCUUUCAGCUGGGAAGAUAAUGACGGUACCAGCAGAAGAAGCCCCGGCUAACUCCGUGCCAGCAGCCGCGGUAAUACGGAGGGGGCUAGCGUUGUUCGGAAUUACUGGGCGUAAAGCGCGCGUAGGCGGACCAGAAAGUUGGAGGUGAAAUCCCGGGGCUCAACCCCGGAACUGCCUUUGAAACUCCCAGUCUUGAGUUCGAGAGAGGUGAGUGGAAUUCCGAGUGUAGAGGUGAAAUUCGUAGAUAUUCGGAGGAACACCAGUGGCGAAGGCGGCUCACUGGCUCGAUACUGACGCUGAGGUGCGAAAGCGUGGGGAGCAAACAGGAUUAGAAACCCGGGUAGUCC
This 425-nucleotide ribosomal RNA is filed under the name uncultured bacterium. RNAcentral's name for it is "partial 16S ribosomal RNA". It matches the Rfam family "Bacterial small subunit ribosomal RNA", at positions 354 to 796 of the family's 1533-position model. The record is from RNAcentral.